UACGUAGGGGGCAAGCGUUGUCCGGAAUCAUUGGGCGUAAAGCGCGCGUAGGCGGCCCGGUAAGUCCGUUGUGAAAGUCAAAGGCUCAACCUUUGAAUGCCGACGGAUACUGCCGGGCUAGAGUACGGAAGAGGCGAGUGGAAUUCCUGGUGUAGCGGUGGAAUGCGCAGAUAUCAGGAGGAACACCUAUAGCGAAGGCAGCUCGCUGGGACGUUACUGACGCUGAGGCGCGAAAGCCAGGGGAGCAAACGGG
This 253-nucleotide ribosomal RNA is filed under the name uncultured bacterium. RNAcentral's name for it is "partial 16S ribosomal RNA". It matches the Rfam family "Bacterial small subunit ribosomal RNA", at positions 524 to 776 of the family's 1533-position model. The record is from RNAcentral.